AACGAACGCUGACGGCAUGCCUAACACAUGCAAGUCGAACGAAGUCUUCGGACUUAGUGGCGCACGGGUGCGUAACGCGUGGGAAUCUGCCCUUGGGUACGGAAUAACUCAGAGAAAUUUGUGCUAAUACCGUAUAAUGUCUUCGGACCAAAGAUUUAUCGCCCAAGGAUGAGCCCGCGUAAGAUUAGCUAGUUGGUGGGGUAAAAGCCUACCAAGGCGACGAUCUUUAGCUGGUCUGAGAGGAUGAUCAGCCACACUGGGACUGAGACACGGCCCAGACUCCUACGGGAGGCAGCAGUGGGGAAUAUUGGACAAUGGGCGAAAGCCUGAUCCAGCAAUGACGCGUGAGUGAUGAAGGCCCUAGGGUUGUAAAGCUCUUUUACCAGGGAUGAUAAUGACAGUACCUGGAGAAUAAGCUCCGGCUAACUCCGUG
RNAcentral lists this ribosomal RNA (433 nucleotides) under uncultured bacterium. Its description in RNAcentral is "partial 16S ribosomal RNA". It matches the Rfam family "Bacterial small subunit ribosomal RNA", at positions 29 to 507 of the family's 1533-position model. The record is from RNAcentral.